This 377-nucleotide unclassified non-coding RNA is filed under the name uncultured Chlamydiaceae bacterium. Its description in RNAcentral is "contains 16S-23S intergenic spacer region". Lineage: Bacteria; Pseudomonadati; Chlamydiota; Chlamydiia; Chlamydiales; Chlamydiaceae. The record is from RNAcentral.
UCCUGGUUAACCCAGGCAGUCUCACUAGAGUUCCCACCCUAAGUGCUGGCAACUAGUGAUAAGGGUUGCGCUCGUUGCGGGACUUAACCCAACACCUCACGGCACGAGCUGACGACAGCCAUGCAGCACCUGUGUACCUGUCCUUUCGGAAGACGACAUUUCUGCCGCUGUCAGGCACAUGUCAAACCUGGGUAAGGUUCUUCGCGUUGCAUCGAAUUAAACCACAUGCUCCACUGCUUGUGCGGGCCCCCGUCAAUUCUUUUGAGUUUCACCCUUGCGAGCGUACUCCUCAGGCGGUACACUUAACGCGUUAGCUACGACACAGCUGGGGUUGAGACCAGCUACAUCAAGUGUACAUCGUUUACAGCAAGGACUAC